Molecule: unclassified non-coding RNA, 391 nt
Filed under: soil metagenome
Description: partial contains 5.8S ribosomal RNA, internal transcribed spacer 2, and large subunit ribosomal RNA
Rfam family: 5.8S ribosomal RNA (bases 1-122)
Source: RNAcentral
GAUGAAGAACGCAGCAAAAUGCGAUACUUGGUGUGAAUUGCAGAAUCCCGUGAACCAUCGAGUCUUUGAACGCAAGUUGCGCCCGAAGCCAUUAGGCCGAGGGCACGCCUGCCUGGGCGUCACACGUCGUUGCCCCCCCAUCUACUCCUUCGGGAUUGCGGGGGGCGGAUGAUGGCCUCCCGUGCGCCUCGUCGCGCGGUUGGCAUAAAUGCCAAGUCCUCGGCGACGCACGCCACGACAAUCGGUGGUUGCGAAACCUCGGUUGCCCGUCGUGUGCGGUCGUCGCGCAUCGAGGGCUCGAAAAAAUUGCCGGGCUCCGGCUCGGCUUUCAACGCGACCCCAGGUCAGGCGGGGUUACCCGCUGAAUUUAAGCAUAUCAAUAAGCGGAGGA